ACCCGCUGAACUUAAGCAUAUCAGUAAGCGGAGGAAAAGAAACUAACUAGGAUUCCCCGAGUAGCGGCGAGCGAAAGGGGAGAAGCCCAGCGCCGAAGCCCGCGGCCCUCAGGUCGCAGUGCAAUGUGGCGUUUCGGCGGCGACUCGCGACGGCCGCUCUGGCACGAGUACCUCUGAAUGGGUCUGCCCCGGCGGGUGUCAGCCCUCUACUUGCCAGACGAGCGGUCGUUGCCCGUCGUCGUCGCGGAGUCGGGUUGCUUGAGAGUGCAGCCCAAAGUGGGUGGUAAGCUCCAUCUAAGGCUAAAUACCUAGUGCGAGACCGAUAGCAAACAAGUACCGUGAGGGAAAGUUGCAAAGAACUUUGAAAAGAGAGUUCAAGAGUACGUGAAACCGUUCAGAGGCAAACGGACGGAACUGGGCGAGUUCGCCGUCGUCAUUCAGCCGGUGCCUCGGUGCCGGUGCACUUGGCGGCGGCGGAGCGCGACGACCGCCUGUCGGGUCGUCAGAAGCCCGGCGGCAAGGUGGCGACGCGUUCGCGCGUCGUGUUACAGGCCGCCGCGGCGUUGGCUGACUCGGCGGGCGAGGAGCGCCUGCGGUGCACUCCCCCCCUCGCGGGGCGGGAGUGGCCCGACGCGGUUGGCUUGCGGACGCCGGCGACGAACUGCUCGCAGUUUGACGUCGCGCGGGCCGUCUGUCGAGCCGCGCGGUGCCACGGGGCACCCAGGGUCCGGGUCGUGUGGUUCCUGGCACUCCGUCCGACCCGUCUUGAAACACGGACCAAGGAGUUGAGCACGCGCGCGAGUCGAUGGGCUCUCAGAACCCCAGUGGCGCAGCUAAGGCAAAACGGGCGUGAUCCGGCACUGGCGUGUCGGCGCAACGCCGGCCCGCAGGCGACUCGCUGCAAGUGCCUGCGGUGCAAGAGCGCGUGUGCUCAGACCCGAAAGGUGGUGAACUAUGCUUGAGCAGGGCGAAGCCAGAGGAAACUCUGGUGGAGGCUCGCAGCGAUCCUGACGUGCAAAUCGGUCGUCAAACUUGAGCAUAGGGGCGAAAGACUAAUCGAACCGCCUAGUAGCUGGUUCCCUCCGAAGUUUCCCUCAGGAUAGCUGGCACUCGGGAUAAAUGGUUUUAUCCGGUAAAGCGAAUGAUUAGAGGCAUUGGGGACGAAACGUCCUCAACCUAUUCUCAAACUUUAAAUGGGUAAGAGGCGCGGCCCUUCCUGAUCGGGGUCGCGUGCUUGAACAGAGAGUGCCCAGUGGGCCGUUUUUGGUAAGCAGAACUGGCGCUGUGGGAUGAACCAAACGCUCGGUUAGGGUGCCUAACGCGCGCUCAUGAGAGACCACAAAAGGUGUUGGUUGAUAUAGACAGCAGGACGGUGGCCAUGGAAGUCGGAAUCCGCUAAGGAGUGUGUAACAACUCACCUGCCGAAUCAACUAGCCCUGAAAAUGGAUGGCGCUGGAGCGCGCGACCCAUACCGGGCCGUCGGGGCAACGCGUGCGAAAUGCCAGGCCCCGACGAGUAGGAGGGCGUGUCGGUGGCGUUGAAGCGUAGUGCGCGAGCACGCGUGGAGCCGCCUUCAGUGCAGAUCUUGGUGGUAGUAGCAAGUAUACAAAUGAGAACUUUGUAGACCGAAGUGGAGAAGGGUUCCAUGUGAACAGCAGUUGGACAUGGGUCAGUCGGCCCUAAGAGAUCGGAAAAUUCCGUUCUGAACGGGGGAGACGCGUCGCGUGACAUGCCGUCUGAACCAUAUUUGUCAAAACCGACGCCCCAGCCGGUUGGCCGGCGCGCCCGCCGUCCGUCCUCCUCCGCGCCUUCGAGCCCGCCUCCUCCCUUGAGGCGCGGGUGUUGGGGCGCGUGUUGGGGGGUCGGGCAUGUGCGACCGCGCGCCGAGAUCACGGGCGUAUUGGCUUGGAGCGGCGCCGUCACGCGCGCGCGAGGUGUCACCCCGAUGCGAUCGAAAGGGAAUCGGGUUAAUAUUCCCGAACCUGGCAGUGGAGAUUGGGCCCUCGGGCCCCAGUGCGGUAACGCAACCGAACUCGGAGACGCCAGCGUCGAUCCCGGGAAGAGUUCUCUUUUCUUUGUUAGGAGCGGACUCCCUGGAAUUGGCUUGUCCAGAGAUAGGGACGUUGCAUCCGUAAAGCGUCGCGCCUCACGCGGCGUCCGGUGCAUCGGCGUUGGCCCUUGAAAAUCCGAGGGAGGCAGUGUAAUUUUCACUCCAGGCCGUACCCGAAUCCGCAGCAGGUCUCCAAGGUGAACAGCCUCUGGUCGAUAGAACAAUGUAGGUAAGGGAAGUCGGCAAAUCCGAUCCGUAACUUCGGGAUAAGGAUUGGCUCUGAGGUGCGGGCUGCUUCGGGUCGCGGCAAGAAGCGGAUCGUGCGUUGGUUGGACUGGGCGCGCCUCGGCGCGUUCGGACCGCCGCCAGCGCGCGUCCGUGGGAGGCCGUGGCUUUCGCCGGCGGGGGCUUCGGCGCCCCGUCGGCUUCGUUCGGCCUAAACGCACAGCACAGAACUGGCGCGGACUCUGGGAACACGACUGUCUAAUUAAAACAAAGCAUCGCGAUGGCCGCUGGUCGGUGUUGACGCGAUGUGAUUUCUGCCCAGUGCUUUGAAUGUCAAAGUGAAGAAAUUCAACCAAGCGCAGGUAAACGGCGGGAGUAACUAUGACUCUCUUAAGGUAGCCAAAUGCCUCGUCAUCUAAUUAGUGACGCGCAUGAAUGGAUUAACGAUGUUCCCACUGUCCCUAUCUACUAUCUAGCGAAACCACAGCCAAGGGAACGGGCUUGGCAAAUACAGCGGGGAAAG
This 2798-nucleotide ribosomal RNA is filed under the name Smittina rosacea. RNAcentral describes it as "partial large subunit ribosomal RNA". It matches the Rfam family "Eukaryotic large subunit ribosomal RNA", at positions 23 to 2406 of the family's 3401-position model. The record is from RNAcentral. Lineage: Eukaryota; Metazoa; Bryozoa; Gymnolaemata; Cheilostomatida; Smittinidae.